Molecule: ribosomal RNA, 253 nt
Filed under: uncultured bacterium
Lineage: Bacteria
Description: partial 16S ribosomal RNA
Rfam family: Bacterial small subunit ribosomal RNA
Source: RNAcentral
UACGUAGGGGGCGAGCGUUGUCCGGAUUUAUUGGGCGUAAAGAGCGUGUAGGCGGCCGUGUAGGUCUGACGUGAAAUCUGGAGGCUCAACCUCCAGCUGUCGUUGGAAACCGCUCGGCUAGAGUCCGGAAGAGGAGAGUGGAAUUCCUGGUGUAGCGGUGAAAUGCGCAGAUAUCAGGAAGAACACCUAUGGCGAAGGCAGCUCUCUGGGACGGUACUGACGCUGAGACGCGAAAGCGUGGGGAGCGAACAGG